UAGGGUAUAGCGAAAGUGGUUAACGUGUUUACUUUGGGAGUAAAAGAUUGUGGGUUCAAAUCCCGCUACCCUAA
RNAcentral lists this transfer RNA (74 nucleotides) under Gracilaria urvillei. RNAcentral describes it as "tRNA-Pro". It matches the Rfam family "tRNA". From Rfam's summary of the family: Transfer RNA (tRNA) molecules are approximately 80 nucleotides in length. Lineage: Eukaryota; Rhodophyta; Florideophyceae; Gracilariales; Gracilariaceae. The record is from RNAcentral.